GAGGAGGACAGUCCUGCCAACAUAACAGUUUGUUCAAUAAUAGGAGACAAACAGAAACACAGAGGUGCUAUACAUUCCGAUGGAAAAGACAACAAAAGCAUCUCCCAUCAUUUUGGCGUGGCUCAGAUCAAGAGGAGAAUUUUAAGAAAGGUGAGGUUGGGCACACACAAGAAGACAUAGAUCACAUGUGUCCAGGCAUAUGAGUAGACAGGAGUUUCACACUCUGCCAAACUUACUUCAGAAAGCUUCUCAAGAUCCCGCACUGCACACUUAGAUAUAGUCUUUGACUACAACAAGGGGAUGAAAGUACAGAGAGGUCCAAUUGAAAUCAAUUCUGUGCUGCGUCAUUUCUUCAUUCUGGAAGUCGAUGGACAUGAUUUAUCAUGGCAUCAGGUGUGCAGUUUGUCGACUAUCAGCAGUCUUGUUCACCAGUUGUGCAACUUGAGCUGGUAGCUUUAUUGCUUGAAGCCACAGCAUAAGAGGGGGAAGGUGCAGGCUCAUCAAAAAGUCUCAAAAGUUGAAACUAGGAAAAGAAGUUUGUCAAGAGUGUGAAUCUAUUUGCUUUGAAAACCAUCGUUACGAUGAUUUGGUUCCCUUUGAAACUUGAUACAUACUAUGUGUAUGUUGAAUGAAUUGAGAUGCUUAAAUAAAGAACCGCUAUUCAAAUAUCAGGAAACUGCAUUUUUCAUACUAAAGGGUAAAUGAUGUCGCCAUUUCCUGUAUGUAUUUAAAUGAGAUAUGUUUCCACAAUUAAUAUUUUUAGGGAAUUUUUCUCAUCCUAAUGAAUGAGAUUAAAUUGUACAGCGUCAUAUGAGAUUAAUAUGUGUUUUCUGUUUCUUUAAAAUUGGUGAAAAAUUGUCAGAAGAUAAUUAGACCAGUAUCCAUUACUGCAAUCAUACAAUCAAAUAUACAGGGACAAACCCACUGGGCAUUAAAUAUAAUUAAACCCUGUUUAGGGGCACGAGGCAAACAGAGUUACUUUCAAACGUUAAAGCUGCACUCUCACAUUUUGGACGUUUUGACAACUUUUCUCAUUUUAUGUCUUGGAUUGGAACCAUCCAAUUUUUGCGAAAAAUUAAAUGGCAGAUUUUUCUAUUUAAGUUAAAACAUUGAUGUUUUAUGCACUUUUCUUAAACCGUUAGUAACAUUAAUUUUCGAACGGAAAUAUGAAAUCUGUGAUCUGAUCUUUUGUCAGCAAUCUUUUAUCAUUGGUUUGCAGAUAAUUACGCAAAAAAUUGCUCAUUCAAAAACAAAAAAAGUUGUGAAAACGGUAUAUCUGUGGGAGUGCAGCUCUAAAUGUUUAAUUUCUUGAUUUUACUACUGUAUUAGAAAUUACAGGGGUUGGGGCAUAUUUUUAGUGUUUUUAUUGCUUUUUAUGAUUCAUACAGUCAUACUUUAUUCCUCAGGGCAUAACUUACAAAUAGACAAAACUGGAAAAUGGUCGUUUCAAAAGGUCAAAAAUAAUGCAAGUUGAACAAUCAUAUUGUUCAUGGCUUGUAUUUUUGGUAUAUUUUGUUGCAUAUGCUAUAGAAAGUUGAAAGUUAAAAAUAAAUUCAUAGUUGAAAUGAUGGCUUUGAAUGGUAUUGUCAGAUGAGAAACG
Long non-coding RNA from Mya arenaria, 1600 nucleotides. RefSeq lists it as uncharacterized. NCBI's taxonomy places the organism in Eukaryota, Metazoa, Mollusca, Bivalvia, Myida, Myidae. The transcript is spliced from 3 exons. The record is from RefSeq and is a predicted model, not a curated record.